RNAcentral lists this ribosomal RNA (253 nucleotides) under uncultured bacterium. Its description in RNAcentral is "partial 16S ribosomal RNA". It matches the Rfam family "Bacterial small subunit ribosomal RNA", at positions 524 to 776 of the family's 1533-position model. The record is from RNAcentral.
UACGUAGGGUGCGAGCGUUAAUCGGAAUUACUGGGCGUAAAGCGUGCGCAGGCGGUUUUGUAAGCCAGAUGUGAAAUCCCCGGGCUUAACCUGGGAUUGGCAUUUGGGACUGCAAGGCUGGAGUGUGGCAGAGGAGACUGGAAUUCCUGGUGUAGCAGUGAAAUGCGUAGAUAUCAGGAGGAAUACCGAUGGCGAAGGCAGGUCUCUGGGCUGACACUGACGCUCAUGCACGAAAGCGUGGGGAGCAAACAGG